AUUGAACGCUGGCGGCAGGCCUAACACAUGCAAGUCGAACGGUAACAGGAAACAGCUUGCUGUUUCGCUGACGAGUGGCGGACGGGUGAGUAAUGUCUGGGAACUGCCUGAUGGAGGGGGAUAACUACUGGAAACGGUAGCUAAUACCGCAUAACGUCGCAAGACCAAAGAGGGGGACCUUCGGGCCUCUUGCCAUCGGAUGUGCCCAGAUGGGAUUAGCUAGUAGGUGGGGUAACGGCUCACCUAGGCGACGAUCCCUAGCUGGUCUGAGAGGAUGACCAGCCACACUGGAACUGAGACACGGUCCAGACUCCUACGGGAGGCAGCAGUGGGGAAUAUUGCACAAUGGGCGCAAGCCUGAUGCAGCCAUGCCGCGUGUAUGAAGAAGGCCUUCGGGUUGUAAAGUACUUUCAGCGGGGAGGAAGGGAGUAAAGUUAAUACCUUUGCUCAUUGACGUUACCCGCAGAAGAAGCACCGGCUAACUCCGUG
RNAcentral lists this ribosomal RNA (489 nucleotides) under uncultured bacterium. RNAcentral's name for it is "partial 16S ribosomal RNA". It matches the Rfam family "Bacterial small subunit ribosomal RNA", at positions 30 to 507 of the family's 1533-position model. The record is from RNAcentral.